This is a long non-coding RNA of Stomoxys calcitrans (stable fly), 494 nucleotides long. RefSeq lists it as uncharacterized. The transcript is spliced from 2 exons. The record is from RefSeq and is a predicted model, not a curated record. NCBI's taxonomy places the organism in Eukaryota, Metazoa, Arthropoda, Insecta, Diptera, Muscidae.
CACAUGCCAAUUAUAAAUAAAUCAAUACAGAAAAGUUGUAACGCAUUUGAAAAACUAAUGCGAUGAACCACAAUAACAAAAUCGGAAAUAGAUUUGUAUAGAAAAACUCAUGCCCUUUAAAAAUAAUCAUUUGGGCAUUUACUUGAAUCAAUUUCCUAUAUAAAGUCCAACAUUUUCUCUGAAUCUUCAUACAGAUAUUCGCAGUCUUUGGUAAACGAAUAGCAGAGUCAUAAUGAAUUUCUUGAACAUUUUCGUAUUCGUUGCUGUUAUCCUGGCUGCAUUUACUGCCCAAACUGAAGGCAAGCGUAAAGGUGGCGGCGGUGGUGGUAACCGUGGACAUGCUUGGAGAGCAGGAUCCCAUGUGGCCGGAGCUGCUGUUCAAGGAGUUGCUGCUGAGGCAGUCCGUCAAAUUGGUUAAAUCUCUAUUUGUAGAGAAUAAUGUGACACAAUGCUUACAUUGGAGAGCUUCAAAUAAAUAUUUAUAAAAAAGUAAA